GCCUUCGUGGUGUACUGGUCAGCAUGCUGGUCGCGUAUUCGAGAGGUCCGUGGUUCAAUUCCCGGCGAAGGCA
Non-coding RNA from Stegodyphus mimosarum, 73 nucleotides. NCBI's taxonomy places the organism in Eukaryota, Metazoa, Arthropoda, Arachnida, Araneae, Eresidae. The record is from Rfam.